CCUACGGGAGGCAGCAGUGGUGAAUAUUGGACAAUGGGGGCAACCCUGAUCCAGCCAUGCCGCGUGUGUGAAGAAGGCCCUCGGGUUGUAAAGCACUUUCAGUGAGGAAGAACGCCUGGUGGUUAAUACCCAUCAGGAAAGACAUCACUCACAGAAGAAGCACCGGCUAACUCCGUGCCAGCAGCCGCGGUAAUACGGAGGGUGCGAGCGUUAAUCGGAAUUACUGGGCGUAAAGCGCGCGUAGGUGGCUUGAUAAGCCGGUUGUGAAAGCCCCGGGCUCAACCUGGGAACGGCAUCCGGAACUGUCAAGCUAGAGUGCAGGAGAGGAAGGUAGAAUUCCCGGUGUAGCGGUGAAAUGCGUAGAGAUCGGGAGGAAUACCAGUGGCGAAGGCGGCCUUCUGGACUGACACUGACACUGAGGUGCGAAAGCGUGGGUAGCAAACAGGAUUAGAUACCCCUGUAGUC
This 465-nucleotide ribosomal RNA is filed under the name Vreelandella stevensii. Its description in RNAcentral is "partial 16S ribosomal RNA". It matches the Rfam family "Bacterial small subunit ribosomal RNA", at positions 338 to 795 of the family's 1533-position model. The record is from RNAcentral. Lineage: Bacteria; Pseudomonadati; Pseudomonadota; Gammaproteobacteria; Oceanospirillales; Halomonadaceae.